CGGCGCGGGGUAGAGCAGUUUGGUAGCUCGCAAGGCUCAUAACCUUGAGGUCACGGGUUCAAAUCCUGUCUCCGCAA
Molecule: transfer RNA, 77 nt
Filed under: Sphagneticola trilobata
Lineage: Eukaryota; Viridiplantae; Streptophyta; Magnoliopsida; Asterales; Asteraceae
Description: tRNA-fMet
Rfam family: tRNA
About the family: Transfer RNA (tRNA) molecules are approximately 80 nucleotides in length. Their secondary structure includes four short double-helical elements and three loops (D, anti-codon, and T loops).
Source: RNAcentral